CCCGGCCUGCCACCUUGCUCUCAGACCGAGUGUGACAGCUAGCUGCGCCUUCCGAGAAACUAAUGUAUGCGUUUAUUUUUUAAAAAAUAUGUUGAUGUUGAUAUUCAUGGAAAGAUCUGCAAACAGAGAACGCCAGGUCCGGUUGUGAGAUGCUGCUUGUUGAAGUGCCUCUAGUUAAUCCCAAGCGUUGUGUCUCACUCAUUCGCCUCGCUAUCCUCAACCUAGCUCCACGCAUAAAUGACAAGCCAGCUGCAAGCAGAGAAUCCUGUCCUGCGCCAAUCAGAGAGCGAGUUGUAGCUCAGAACGACAUCCCAGUACUCCAAUGGAACGUGGUCAUUGACAUCCCUCUCGACCAAUUGUAGACAAAGAGCACUGCUCACGGUGACACCACAUAUUAUUGGCGGUUGGCCGACGAUGACGUUUAAUUGACAUCUCAAUUCCCCAACCAAUGGAAAGGAAAUUAAGGAAGAAGGCAAGUCACUGUAGACCCCUCCACUAUUGGAUGUUGAAAUCGUCGAAUGGCAGCCUUUCCUGGAGUCGCUCUCCCUGAUUCUCCUCUUCAUGCGGCUCUGAGCGUGCGCAUUUGUGACGCACCUGUGAUUGACAUUUCCACGCGAGUCGUCUGUUCAGUGAGAGGGCUGUAGUUGUGCUGAGCCUGGAAAUAGUUAUAUCUGUUUCUCUUUUGGAUCGCAUUGUCAAUCCCUCAGGACCUCAAGCUGGAUGACACUCUUCCACUCCGGCGUUGCGUAUCCCGAACUAACUCGAUGGUUCAUUAAUGAUGCCGCACAUCCUAUCGUUGGUCAGGCAAGGUGGUGUUAGAAGAGCCGCGUCAGUAGGAACCGAAGAAAAAUACUGUGGAUGAUAUAAAUCGGAGACAAAAACAGAAAUUGCUGGAAAAGCUCAGCUGGUCCGACAGUACCUGUGGAGAGAAAUUAAUUAACGUUUCGGGUCGAGUGACUCUUCCUCAGAACUGACCUGCUGAGCUUUUCCAGCAAUUUCUGUUUUUAUCAGUAAGAUGUUCGGAUUUCACACCUACCUAUCUUUGUAUUUCAAUUUCACCUGAGUUUAUUGGAUAUGCUCCAAUACAUUUGCAGAUGCUUAUUCUCCAGUUUGGAGAGUAUUGAAGAAAAGAUUCUCACAAUUCAGUGAGGAUAUUGCAUUUUUUCAAGAAACCUUCAUGGAUAUGUUCUGUUUGGUCUGUCGAGAAGCUAAACUCUAGUGGGAAGCAUCAUUGAUGUGGGAUGGUGUGUUGUGUUGAGAAAGAUGGAGAAGAAUGCAAUUACACUGCCUAAGCUGGAGAGUUGGUACAUGCAUUGAGUCUGUGGUGGAUCUAAUGGAGAGAAUCGCAACUUGACCUGAUGUCAUCUUGCAACAAACAGGAGGACGGUGACAAAUUUCUGCAAACAGCCAAAUUUGCUGUAAUGGUAUACCACUCUCAUCCAUCAUAAUCCAACCUCACAUCUGCUGUAAUUUGUCACAAAUAACCAUUCUGAGAUGUCAGCGAUGCUUGAUAACACCUUUCAUAACUUUACUAAUGAUCGAGAAUAGAUUCAUGGGGCAGUAAUCAGCCAGAUUGGAUUUGUCCUGCUUUUUUGUAUGUACAACAUACCUGGGUAAUUUUCCACAUGGCUGGGAUGUAGGGUUAUAGCUGUACUGGACAAACUGGCAAGGGAUGUGGCAAGUUCUGGAGCUCAAGUCUUCAGUAAUAUUGCCAGAAUGUUGUCAGUCCUAAUCACCUUAUCAGUAUCUACUCCUUUCAGUGUUUCUGUUGAGCAAAUCUAACUCACUGAAAACUGCUAUCUAUGAUCUUGAGGACCUCUGGAGGAGACCCAGAUGGAUUAUCCACUUAGCACUUCUGGCUGAGGAUUGUUGCAAAUGCUUCAGCCUUAAUCUUUGCACUGAUUUUCUGUGCUCAUCCAUUACUGAAGUUGGGAUAUUUAUGGAGCCUCCUCCUCUAGUGAACUAUUUGUCUACCUCCAUUCAAGACUAGAUAUGGCAGGACUUCAGAGCUUAGAUCUGAACUGUUGGUUGUGGGAUUGCUUAGCUCUGCCUGUUCCUUGUUGUUUAUGCUGUUUGACAUGUAAGUUGCCCUGUUUUGUAGCUUCACAAGGUUGACACAUCAUUUUUUGGUAUGCCUUGUCCUGCUGCUGGAUGUCUUCCUGCAGUAUUCAAUGAACUAAGUUGAUCUCCUGCCUUGAUACUAAUAGUAGAGUUGGGGAAUAGGUAGGCCCCUAAGGGGAAAUGUAAUUUUAUCAAUGCUGCUGAUGACUCACAACUCAUGGAUUUCUUGAGUUGUUAGAUCUGUACAAACACAGUCACAUUCAUGUAGUAGUGCCACACAACCUGAUAGAGGGUAUUCUUAUUGUGAAGACAGAACUUCAUCUUCAUAAGGACUGUGUGAUGGUCACUCUUACUGAUACUGUUAUGGACAAACAUAUCUACAGCAAACAGAUUGGUGAGGGUGAGGUCAAAUAUGUUUUUCUUACUUGUUGGUUUCCUCAGUACUUUCCACAGACCCAGUCUAGCAGCUAGGUCUUCUAGGACUUGACCAGCUCAGUCAAUUGUGAUGCUGCCAAGCUACUAUUCGUAGUGGAUACUGAAGUCUCCCAUUCAGAGUAAAUUAUGCACCCUUUCUACCUUCAGUUAUUCCUUCAAGUGCUGUUCAACAUAGAGGUGUACUAAUUAGCUGGAGGGGGAGGCUGACUCAGACAGCAGCACCCUCCUGCCUGUAUACCAAUGUGCAACUGCAUUAUGUGCAAAGUAUAAUCCCAUAAGUUUGAUUAUGUCAGGCUGUUGCUUGACCAAUUUUGGUACUGGCCCUCACACAUUAAAAAGGAGGACUUUGUGGGGAACAGGACUACCUUUUAGUUGACAGUACCUCAGUCAAAGCCAGUUGGUCCUCCAGUUUCAUUCCCUAUUCCUUUUCUAGUGGUUGAUACAACUGAGUUCUUGCUAAGCUACUUCAGAGGGCAGAUAAGAAUUGACUACAUUGUUUGUCUCUUAUAUCACAAGCAUGCAAUAACCACAAAACGAUGGCAGUUUCCUUCCCAAAAGGGCAUAAUUGAGUCAGGUGUGUUUUUACAACAGUUAACACAAUUGACAAUGGCUUGAUAGUUACUAUUAUACUUUGAAAUACAGAUUUUUUUUUAAUUGAAUUCAAAUUCCACCACCUGCUCUGUUGGGAUUCAAACCCAGGACUCAGAACAUUACCUUGCAUUUCUGGAUUACUCAUCCUUUUAAGGUGUGAUUUCAUGAGUAUGGCUAUGAUGGACUCUUUCUUGACUGAUCUGAGAGACAGCUCUUCCAAAUUUGGCGCUAGGGCUCAGAUUUUGGUACAAUGGAUUCUGCAGGAUCAGCACUCCUGAGUUCACUAUUAUCAGUUUCAGUGUCUCAAUCUAUCCCAAGUGCUCUGUCUGAUUUCAGUCCUUUUUUGAGAGCUCUUUGCAGUUUGAUAUGACUGAAUGUUUUGUGAGUCAAUUUCCAAAGGCCACAAUUGUUUAACUUGAUGAGUUUUUAUGUCAAACAAUAUGGUUUCAUAUUCAUUAUUAGACUUUUAAUUCAGGUUUAUUAGGCUGUCAGCCAUGGUGGGAUUCAAACCCAGGUCCCCAAAACAUUACCUGGCUCUCUGGAUUAUUCAUUCAUCAAGAAUGCCACACUAGGCCAUCACUUCCCCUAUAGAUAGAUUAAAGAUAUUGGGGCUGGUCUCCUUAGAGAAGAAAAUGUUGAACGAAGAUUUUACAGAGACACAGAAUCAUGAGAGAUCUUUACACAAUACAUUUUCAAAAAAUUAGAUGUACUAUCAGAAUAUAAUUUGGAGGCAAGAAUAUAACACAAUUGACAGAUCAAAAGAAGCACUUUAGAGUACUGUAGAAGAAAAUCUAGAAUUUGAGUAUGGAUUGAAUAUGAACUCUCCUACACCCUGGUUCGAACCCCUGCAAAACUGAGACAGUGGUGAGAAUCCUUUGUGUGGAAGCAGGCUAUUUAGCCCUUUGAGUUCAAACCAGCUCCCCUAACAGCAUCCCACCCUGACCCAGAUACUUACCCUAUCCCUACAACAAUAAAAGAAAUACAAUUGAAAGAAAAUGGAGUGAGUUAUCACUUUGGAAUAAAUUAAUAAGCCUGUCUAGUAAGAGAAUAUGAUAACACAUCAUGGUAGUUGUGAUGCUGAAGUUAUAAGGCUUGAGAUUGCAAUAAGUCAUUUAAGAAUUUAUGGAUUCUGAAGAAAGAUCACUUGACCUGAAACAUUAACUCUGCUUCCUGUCCACAGAUGCUGCCAGACUAGCAGAGUUUUCCUAGCAAUUUCCAAGCAAUGUUUUGUUUCUGAUUUCUAGUAUCUGCAGUUCUUUGUGAUUUUUGUUCAGUCUUUAUUGACCAAGCUCUUAAAAGUGUUUGAAAAUAACUAUUAACCACUACCUAGUUUCCUAUCAUAAAACCAAUUUCAUAAUCAUGUUGCCACAGUGUCUUUUAUUCCAUAACCUCUAGAGGCAUAGAGUCAUAGAAAUGUACAACACAGAAACAGAAUCUUUGGUCCAACUUGUCCAUGUCAACCAGAUAU
Chiloscyllium plagiosum (whitespotted bambooshark) is the source of this 4555-nucleotide non-coding RNA. NCBI's taxonomy places the organism in Eukaryota, Metazoa, Chordata, Chondrichthyes, Orectolobiformes, Hemiscylliidae. The record is from RefSeq and is a predicted model, not a curated record.